Molecule: ribosomal RNA, 253 nt
Filed under: uncultured bacterium
Lineage: Bacteria
Description: partial 16S ribosomal RNA
Rfam family: Bacterial small subunit ribosomal RNA
Source: RNAcentral
GACGAACCGUGCGAACGUUGUUCGGAAUCACUGGGCUUAAAGGGCGCGUAGGCGGGCUACCAAGUCAGGGGUGAAAUCCUGCGGCUCAACCGUAGAAGUGCCUUUGAUACUGAAGAUCUUGAGUCCGGGAGAGGUGAGUGGAACUGCGAGUGUAGAGGUGAAAUUCGUAGAUAUUCGCAAGAACACCAGUGGCGAAGGCGGCUCACUGGCCCGGUACUGACGCUGAGGCACGAAAGCGUGGGGAGCAAACAGG